GAAUUACUUAAUGAGUCAUUAAGUUAUAAUGGAUUUGGAAAAUUAUGAUAGUACAAUCCUAAAAGUGUUGUCAAAAUACUGGUGCCAGAAGACUCGGUAAGGCCAGAAACGCUAACGUUAAUAGUCUUGAUCAGGCGUAAAGGGUUAGUAGGCAUCUUUUGUUUUUAAUAGAAAGAUUGAAUCUUAUCCGUGACAAUUAGAAAAAUGCUCAAUGUAAGGGUGAUAUCUUUUAAUAUUGAGUGGAAGACUCAGGGCGAAAGCUAUUUGUUUAGUAAAGAUUGACGCUUAGGAACGUAGGUGAGGAUAGAAAAAAGGAUUAGAUACCCAAGUAUCCCUCUCUGUUAACGAUGAAUGGUUAGUUGUUCAAUAUUAUUUUUAUAGUUAAAAUAAAUAUUUGAAUUGGUUGAAUAGCGAAGCAAACGCAAUUACCAUUCCGCCUUGUAAGUACGACUGCAAAGUUGAAAACAAAAAAAUUAGUCGGUUUCGAAGCAAACGGAGUGAAGCAUG
RNAcentral lists this ribosomal RNA (507 nucleotides) under Tubulicium bambusicola. RNAcentral's name for it is "SSU rRNA". It matches the Rfam family "Bacterial small subunit ribosomal RNA", at positions 409 to 943 of the family's 1533-position model. The record is from RNAcentral. Lineage: Eukaryota; Fungi; Basidiomycota; Agaricomycetes; Trechisporales; Hydnodontaceae.